RNAcentral lists this ribosomal RNA (302 nucleotides) under uncultured bacterium. RNAcentral describes it as "bacterial SSU rRNA". It matches the Rfam family "Bacterial small subunit ribosomal RNA", at positions 493 to 793 of the family's 1533-position model. The record is from RNAcentral.
ACGGCUAACUACGUGCCAGCAGCCGCGGUAAUACGUAGGUGGCAAGCGUUGUCCGGAUUUAUUGGGCGUAAAGUGAGCGCAGGCGGUUUUUAAGUUCUGAUGUGAAAGACCUUCGGCUCAACCGAAGAAGUGCAUCGGAAACUGGGAAACUUGAGUGCAGAAGAGGACAGUGGAACUCCAUGUGUAGCGGUGAAAUGCGUAGAUAUAUGGAAGAACACCAGUGGCGAAGGCGGCUGUCUGGUCUGUAACUGACGCUGAGGCUCGAAAGUAUGGGUAGCAAACAGGAUUAGAUACCCUGGUAG